AGAGUUUGAUCCUGGCUCAGAAUCAACGCUGGCGGCGUGUCUAACACAUGCAAGUCGCACGAGAAAGGGACUUCGGUCCUGAGUAAAGUGGCGCACGGGUGAGUAACACGUGAAUCAUCUACCUUCGAGUGGGGAAUAACUGGGAGAAAUCUCAGCUAAUACCGCAUAAUACCUACGGGUCAAAGCAGCAAUGCGCUUGAAGAGGAGUUCGCGGCAGAUUAGCUAGUUGGCGGGGUAAUGGCCCACCAAGGCGAUGAUCUGUAUCCGGCCUGAGAGGGCGCACGGACACACUGGAACUGAAACACGGUCCAGACUCCUACGGGAGGCAGCAGUGGGGAAUUUUGCGCAAUGGGGGAAACCCUGACGCAGCAACGCCGCGUGGAGGAUGAAGUAUCUUGGUACGUAAACUCCUUUCGAUGGGGAAGA
Molecule: ribosomal RNA, 426 nt
Filed under: uncultured bacterium
Lineage: Bacteria
Description: bacterial SSU rRNA
Rfam family: Bacterial small subunit ribosomal RNA
Source: RNAcentral